GCUGGGCGUGGUGGCGGGUGCCUGUAAUCCCAGCUACUUGGGAGGCUGAGGCAGGAGAAUCGCUUGAACCCAGGAGGCAGAGGUUGCAGUGAACUGAGAUCGUGCCACUGUACUCCAGCCUGGGCAAUGUAGCAAGAUCCUGCCUCAA
RNAcentral lists this non-coding RNA (148 nucleotides) under Pan troglodytes (chimpanzee). The record is from Rfam by way of RNAcentral. Lineage: Eukaryota; Metazoa; Chordata; Mammalia; Primates; Hominidae.